UUUAAGGGUCGUGGGAGAUGACCACGUUGAUAGGUUAUAGGUGUAAAGCUGGCAACAGCAUAGCCGAGUAAUACUAAUUACCCGUAGAUUUAUAGCCU
Molecule: ribosomal RNA, 98 nt
Rfam family: Bacterial large subunit ribosomal RNA